This 332-nucleotide small RNA is filed under the name Histoplasma ohiense. Its description in RNAcentral is "hypothetical lncRNA". The record is from RNAcentral. Lineage: Eukaryota; Fungi; Ascomycota; Eurotiomycetes; Onygenales; Ajellomycetaceae.
ACUAGGGAGGGGUGAAGAGCUCUGUCGAUUUUUCUCCUCUCGGGAUGAUUCCAUAUCGUGUGAACUACCAGUACUGCGUACGCUGCGUGGGAGAGAAGAUGGCUGCUGGAAACUCCUUGAUAACCUCGACAAACGCUUGAACAACGAGAUGAUUCAAGCCGAAUUUGAAGAAGUUUCUGGCACCAACGGCGAGUGAAAUAGCAAUGUCAGACCUUGAAGUGAAUGCAUGGUAUAUUGUUCGAGGCCUACGAUUGCAGACUCAGCUAACCUGCUUCCCGCGAUUCAAUACAUAUCACAUAGUGCUAGACUUAUCCCGCACACCUCGUAUGGCC